GGUUUCAGCAGGAGGGACAAGGCUAUGAAGCACUACCAGCAACACUUCCGUAAUCCAGAGACCACAAUACAGAUAGUUAUUACUCGGUAUGUCAACUAGAUCUUCACCACAUACACUGACCCAGCACCCAACAGUGCCAGCCUGGUAACACACCUCAUAGUCCCCCAGUCACAGCAGCCAUCGGAGACAGACACAUCAUCCCCGGGCUAUGAGCAGACUGAUGGGCAGCAGCCGCAAAUCGAGUACCAGUAUGCCUGCAUCAAUGAUCCGAGCCAGAGCACUGCCAAUGGGGAAGUUGUCCUUAUUGAGAUACCAGACAAG
Molecule: long non-coding RNA, 321 nt
Organism: Patiria miniata (bat star)
Lineage: Eukaryota; Metazoa; Echinodermata; Asteroidea; Valvatida; Asterinidae
Exons: 3
Source: RefSeq, a predicted model, not a curated record